CACAUUUGGUGAGGACCUUUUUGCUGUGUCAUAAUGUGGAAGAAGGUAUCACAUGGAAAAACAGAGCAUAUGAGAGAGAAGGGGCCAAACUCCUCUUUUAUAAGGAUGCCAUUUCUUCAGUAACCAAUUUGCUUCCUUCAUAAUGGCAUUAAUCCAUUAAUGAGAGCAGAGACCUCAUGGCCUAAUCACCUAUUGUAGGUCCCACCUCUAAAUAUUGCUGCAUUGGAAAUUAAUUGUCUAACACAUGAACUCCGGGCAACACAUUCAAGCCAUAGUACUAUUGUCUGAACUUGGACAUUUCCCAAGUUACAUGAGAUAUAUGACCUCUAAAUUUUAGGUAUUGGCAAGUUUUACCUGUAAAGGGCCAGAUAGUAAAUAUUUCAGGCUUUUGGGGCCACUACCAUCUCUGUCAUUAUUUCUUCCUCCUUUCUCUUUCUUUUCCUUUCCUCCUUUCCCUCUUCCUCUUCCUUCCUCCUUCCCUUCUACAGUUAUUUACAAACGUAUAAUCAAUUUGUAUUGCCUUUUUAGGGCUAGCAUAGCAAAGUACCACAAUUGGGUGGCUUCACCAGCAGAAAUUUCAUUAUCUUUCAGUUCUGGAAGGUAGACAUUUGAGUUCAAGAUGUCAGCAGGGUUGAUUCUUUCUCUUUCUUUUUUUUUUUUUAGUUAUGUAUAUUAUUUAUUUAUUUAUUUAUUACAUACAUGACAAUAGUGGAGUGUAUUACAUUCAUAAUUAUCUAUUCACAGCACAAUUUUUUGUAACUCUGUAUAUAAAAGGUUGAUUCUUUCUGAGAGCUGUGAAGAAGAAUCUGUUCAAGCCUCUUUCCUAAUCUUCAGUGGUUUGCUGACCAUCUUUGGAGUUCCUUGGUGCUGUGGUUUGAAUGUGUCCAUAUGUUGGAGACUUAAUCCACAAUGCAACAGUGUUGAGAGGUAGGACUUUAAAGAGGUGCUUAGGUCAUGAGGGUUCUGCCCUCAUGAGUGGAUUAAUGUCAUCAUCCCAAGAAUGGGUUUCUGAUAAAUGGGUGAGUUUGGUUCCCUUCCCCUCCUCUGGCUCAAGCUCUCUCGCCCUCGCCUUGUCUUGCCCGUCUGUCUUCUGCUGUGGGGUGAUAUAACAAGAAGGAAAGCCCUCACCAGAUGUCAACAUGUUGAUACUGAGAGCAGAGACCUCAUGGCCCAAUCACCUAUUAUAGGUCUUAUAAUAGGUUUCCAGUUCCCAGAACUAGGACUUCCCAUUGCCUGUGAAUUACUUAGUCUGUAGUAUCCUGUUAUAGCAGGGCAAAAUGGGCUAAGACACUUGCCUUAUAGAAGUGACACCCUGAUCUUGGAAUUUAAAUUUACGUAGUGUUCUCCCUAUACAUAUGUCUACAUCCAAAUUUACCCUUUUUAUAUAAGGUCACUGUCAGAUUAGGGGCCUACACUAUUCUAGUAUUAUUUCAAGUUAACUAAGUAUAUUGACAAUGACCCUAUUUCCAAUCAAGUCACAUUCUGAAGUUCUGGAUAUUAUUUUAACAAAUGAAAUUUGGGGGAGACACAGUUCAAUCCAUAAGACCAUUCCUAGCUCAUCUAGAUAGGUCAUGGAGUGUAUGUACUUUGUUGAUCCCUUUAGUAAAAUUCUCAUUUAUUCUAAAAUCCUAUAAUUUUCUAUUCUACGUGACUUUAUGGGACAAUUUUUUUUUUUUUUUUGAGAUGUGGGCCUCACUACUUUGCGAAGGCUGGCCUUAAACUUGUGAUCUUUCUGCCUCAGCCACCUGAGUAGCUGGGAACAAGCAACCAUGCCCUGUUGUAUGGGACAAAUUGUCUAUUGUAUUUAUUCAAUUAACAAAUUUUAUUGAGCACUUACAUAUGCUCAAGCACUAUUCGUGGUGCCAGGACACAGAAGUGAAAACCUGAUAAAAAUUAUUUUCCUCCCAAGUCUUAAUGUCUAAUAUGAAAAGCAGACCCCCAACAAAAUAAACAAAAACAACCCAAAUACAUAAGAUGGCAGUAGGUUCUAAGAAUAAAAUUUCAGGGGCAAGAGAAAGAUAGCCAUUCAAUUGAAUUUUAAUAGGGUAGUCAGGGAAUAUUUCAAAGAAAAAGUAACAUUUGAGCAGAGAAGAGACCUGAAUGAGGUGAGGAAUUAGCACAUGAUAUCAGGUGCUAUGGUUUGGAUAUGAUUUGAUUAUGUUCCCCAAGGAUUCAUGUGUGGAAAGUAUGGUCCUCAGUGUGGUGAUAUUGGGAGGUAGUAGAACCUUUAGAAUGUAGGUUAAGUGUGAGGUAAGUAGGUCACUGGGACCACUGCUCUCAGAAGAGAUUAACGUAGUUCUCAGGGGACCCCAGUUAGUUCUGUGAAAGUGGGUUGUUAUUUUAUAAUAGGGAAGAUUCAGCCAUCACUGGGGUAUUUUAGAAUCCCAGGACAUCAGAGUGAAAUUAUCAGUUGUCAGUGUUUGCUUUAACAUCUGAAAAAAGCUUCCUGUUCUACAUCCCUGCAGACCACUGGGUGCUGUGGGUGAGGCGAUGCCCUCCUCUGCCAUGGCCCCCUAGGAAGCUGUCCUUCUGUUGAAUACUGUACCUUUGCUCGCUCUCAAUUCGAGUGGACUGUGCUUUAGUGUAUUUAUAAAUGAUGGAUUCAGUUUCUGAAAUUAAACUUUUUAUUUGCGGUUUUCCAAAAAAAAAAAAAUGUGAGUUGUUAUAAAAGAUCAUGUGAAUCAUUAUAAAAGAGCUCUCUCUACUCUCUGGCUUUCUGUCUCACCAUGUAAUCCCUCUGACAUGUACCUCUACCACAAUACUAUAUGCCAGGAGGUCUUCACCAGAAACCAAAAAAAAAAAAAAAAAAGGGUUUGCCCAACCUUAGACUUUCAUUCUUCAAAACUGUAAGUUAAAUGAACUUCUUUUCUAUAUAUGUUAUCCAGCCUCAGAUGUUUCAUUAUGGCUAGUACAUUUAGGGAAGUCAUGUUUCUGUCAAAUGAAAGAGCAAUCUAAGGUAGAAGUGAGGGCCAGAACAGCAAGAGGAAAGUGUGCUUGAGUAAAAAGGAGGCAGGAGAGAAUAUGAAGAGAUGAAAUCAGAGAUAAUGUGGGGUGUGAGGUGUUCAAUGGUGAAUAGUCUUGAAUUACCACCUUAGAUAAGGGUCAGUGUCAAGAUGAGGGUGGGGCAAGCAAAGCACACAGUUUAAGGAGGCAGUCAUUCUCAGAACUCUGCAAGUACAGGGUGGGCACCUAAGAGUGAGUUCCUCCUUAAAUUAUGCACCCCAGGAAUCUCCCAAGCCUCACCCUAGUUCUGGUCCAGGUAAAAGCUUUGGAUUCAAUAACAAGUGGGACAGGAAGCCUCUGGAUGGUUUUUAGGAGAGGGGCAUGAAUAACAUUAACUUUUAUCAGAAUUACUCUGACUGCUGUAUUUAGGACAAGGAUAGGAAAAAUGAAACAAGUUAAAAGCUCACUGAACUAGCUUCCCAAGAAAAAGUGAAUCAAGGCUUUAUACCCAAUAAUCCACCUAGGGGUGGGCCACCCUAAAAAGCUGUCAUGCAUAUAACCAGUGUAACUUGUGUUGUCUUUUUAUUUUCACAUGACUUUCUUUGGAGGUCAUCUGAAUACUAGACUCUAUGGCAGUUACUGGGAUUCCAUUCAAAGAAUCAACAAGAAAUGGUCCCUAUCUCAAAGAAUUAAUAUUUUCCUUUCUUCUUUUCUUCUUUUUUUCCUUCCUUUUUUUCUUUUAUAUUUUGAAAUUUUGCAAAAGCAAAAGCAAGCAAACACCAAAAAGUCUAAGUCCCCACUCUUACCUUCUUAGGAAUUCACUAUGCUUAUUUUCUGAUGCAUGUAUCUAUGCCCAUUCCAUUUAGAAUAGUAAAUAAAUGAUGAUAAGAAUUAGGGUACAACUUAGGAAAUUGGCCAUGAUUUAUUAUGAAUUCUCAUGAAAAUAUUAGACCUCCCUUUCACUCAUAGGAUCAGGAAUUUGGGGGACUUAAAUGUUAGAGGUCCUCACAUUCAACCCUCUCAUUUGUCUGAUGAUGAGACUGAGACCCAGAAAGACAAACCUCUAAUUACCCACCUACUUAGUGGUUGAGUGUGGCAGAUUGCAUUUUUAAAAGCUGUCUACAAUAAUUUGUUUUGUUCCACAUGCUCUUGAAUGCAACUUUGACACUGAUCACUGAGAAGAUGGGAGUCUAUGUUCCCUGCCUUGAAUCUGGGUAUAUCAGUUUCCUGUAGCUGCUGUAAACAAAUCACCAAAAACUUGUGGCAUAAAACAACACAUAUCUAUUAUUUUACAGUUCGAGAGAUCAGAAUUCCAAAAUAUGUCUUAGUAGGAUAAAAUCAAGAUAUUGGCAGGGCCAGAUCCUUCUUGAAGCUCUAGGGAGAAUCUGUUUCCAUGCCUUUUCAAGCUUCUAAAGGCUGCUUGCAUUCCUUGGCUCAUGGCCAGCAUCCCUCUGCCCUCUGCUUCUGUAUCAUAUCUCCUUUUCUGAUUCUGAACCUUCUGGAUUCCUGUUAUAAGGACAUUUGGGAUUAUAUUGUAGCCACCUGGAUCAUCCAGGAUAAUCUUCCUAUCUCUGGGUCCUUAACUUAAUCACAUCUGCAAAGCCCCUUUUGCCAGGUCAGCUAACAAAUUUACAGGUUCAGGGAUUAAACUGUGAACAUUUUAGAGUGCUCUUUGUUCUGCCUAACAAACCAGGUCAAUUUAUGACUACAGGAGAAUUGAGGUUAUGUGAUAUCCAAGGCAAGGUCAUGAAAGUGAUAUUGUCAAUUGUCUUGAAUCCCUUGCUUUUAGAACCCAGUUGUCCUUGCCAUGCCUUGAGGAGGCCCAAACUAACCCAAGCAGAAAGGCUACAGGAGAAGCCAUGUGUCAGUGUCCUGAAGAACAGCCAGCUGUGGCCUCAGCUGAUACCAGCAUCAGUGGGCACCCAUAUGAAUGAAGAUGCCCCCAGAUGAUUCCAGAACAUAGCUGUCACUUCACUUAGCUUUCAUGUCUUCCCACCUGAGGCUCUAGGUAUCACAAAGGGGAGAUAAGUAUCUCCACUACACUCUGUUGAAAUCUUGAUCCACAGAUAAUAUGAGAGAUAAUAAAACAAUUGCUGUUGUUGUAAGCCACGAAUUUGGAGGUAAUUUGUUACAAAGCCAUACGGAACUAAUAUGGAGAGCCACACAGCAGAACCUAGGUCUUCAGUUUCUCAGCUUUAGUGCUUUUUUCCACCUCAAUUAUUACCUUUCAGUCAAGCAAGAAAACCAGUGGUUGUUGAGCAGCUAUUAGGAACAAUGCCCUCUGGAAAAUGUAAAGAAUAUAAAACUUGCUCUUCAUUCUCAAAAAACAUUCCCUUCUCCAGUGAGAAAGACAUCCAGGUGCAGAGUUGGGAGGCUCGUAGGCAAGGCAUGGUAAGAGAUGGGAAGAACCCCAAGUAUGUCACAGGAAAAGGAGAGAAAAGAGAGUCCAAGGAAUAUUCUGAAGGUUAGUUGACAAGACUUCCUGGUGAGGAAUGCACAGAAAGAAGAGGUAAGGAUUCUAUUGUUUCUAGCUAUUAAUAUACAUAGGAAAUCUAGGGGGAGACCCAGGCCUGAGGAAACUUUAUGGUGUGCAAUCUGGUCAUCAGUGGAGCUAAUAUCUGUUCUCGAAAGCAUUUUCAUCACUAAGCAAUGCAUGGUUCCCAAUGAUGGAGCUGUUAGAGAACUAACUGGGAUCACCCUUGGGGGUAUCUGUACUAUUUAUUUAAGGAAUUAGACUUCUUAGCACUCAUUCCCAGUGCGUAUAUGGUUUUCAGUACCAUAUAUGGCAGAUGCUACAGUUUCACAUAAACUAGUAGCAGUUGUUCAUCCCAGUAAGUCAGAGAAGGGUGUGUGGAAUAGGUGUUGUCAUCACUAUUUUACUUCUAAGAAUAUAUUCAGAAUGUGGAGUGCUCCUUCCCCAUGUGUGCAUCCUCUUAAGCAGAAAGCUUUUCUCGUCCCAGAGAUGGAGCAAUUUUCUCCCCAUUGUCUGUUGAAUUCUGAGACAUUUUCAUAUGAAUUACAGAAAUACACAGACACAACCCUAACCCUAACCUCUAACCCUAACCCCCAUGAACAUAUUCUGUUUUAUUUUUACAAUGGGUCACUUUCACAAUGAGCUAGAAAGUUUGCUUCCACACAUUUAUAAACAUGGGAUUUCUGUCUGAAGUUGGGAAAAUGUUUCUUUUUCAACAAUGUCCAUGACUCCAUGGAAAAUCAGUGUCUUAAUGAUCUGAUUUGCAGAAAAUGCUAUUUGAAUUUACUUGAGCCACAGAGGAAUUAUUUCUACCUUUUAUUUCAUUCUUCCUACAGGCAGAGAUGGUAUGUUUGACUCUAUGGGAAGUUAGAAAAGCCCAUGACUACAAUAAUACACAUGAAACAUUCAAAUGGUUGAGAAAAAAUUAAAGGACUUUAAGUUUUAUGGUUUUAGAUGGGAUAUGCAUAAAAAUAGGCAUAUCAAUUCUCCAUUUUUAAAGAAAUAAUAUUUUCCUGAUUAUAAAAUACAUAAAACUUUACUUUUAAAAUUUCAGAAAUUAUUAUAUUGCUGGUGGGACUGCAAAUUGGUGUAACCACUAUGGAAAGCAGCAUGGAGAUUCCUCAGAAAAUUUGAGAUGGAACCACCAUUUGACCCGGCUAUUCCAUUCCUUGUUUAUACCCAAAGGACUUAAAAUCAGCAUACUACAGUAAUGCAGCCAAUGUUUAUAGCACAAUGCAGUCAAUGUUUAUAGCAGCUCAAUUCACAAUAGCUAAGCUAUGGAACCAACCUAGGUGUCCUUCAAUAGAGGAAUGGAUAAAGAAAAUGUGGUAUAUAUAUUCAGUGGAAUAUUAUUCAGCUUUAAAGAAGAGUGAAAGUAUGACAUUUGCCAGUUAAAUGGAUGGAGUUUGAGAAUAUCAUGCUAAGUGAAAUAAGCCAGUCCCAACAAACCAAAGGCAUAAUGUUUUCUCUAAUAUAUGUAUGUUAAUUCACAAUAAGGCAGGAAGCACUAGAGAAGAAUAGCAUUACCUUAGAUUAGGUAGAGGGAAAUGAAGGGAGGGCAGGGGAGGAGAUGUGGGGAUAGGAAGGAUAGUAAAAGGAAACAGACAUUAUUACUUUAUGUAUAUAUGUGACUGCAUGACCAAUGUAAUUCUACAACAUGUACACUCAGAGAAAUAAGAAAUUAUAUCCCAUCUAUAUAUGAUAUAGCAAAGUGCAUAAAUGCAUUCUAUUGUCAUGUCUAACUAAUUAAAAUUAAAUUAAAAUAAAAAAUUAGAAAAUAUGUUAAAGGCAAUAAGAAAAAAAAAAUCUCUUGUGAAUCUUUACCCAGAGAUAACUACUGUCUAUAGUUUGAAAAAAAAAUACUUUGGGCCUCAUGCUUUGCAGAAAAACCCUUGGAAAUUCUUAAUGAAAUUAUGCAUCACUUGCUGAGUUACAAGUGAUUUUUUUAGCCAGGGUGUUUUUUUUUUUUGUUUUUUUUUUUUACUUACCAUAUCACAAACAAUUUUAUGUCAAAUUUUAUUUAGGAAGUCAAUGUGACAGGUUUUCGAUGGACUGGAUAUACUUAUUACAUUAGUGUUGGACUAUACAUUGAUUUUAUUUAUAUUACAUUUAUCUUCUUUAUCCUUAGUCAAUACAUAUUUACUGCAGACCCACUAUAAGCCUAGCAUUGUUCUAGGCAGUGAGGACAAGGAGAAGAAUGAAACAGACAAAAUCAUUACCACCUGUGAAUUUGCAUUCAAAAAGGGAAGACAGGUGACAAUCAAAUAGACAAACAUGCAGUGUGAUAGGUGGUGUAGUAGUUCUCUGCCUAUUAUUUAAUAAAAGCUUUGCAUAUGGACUUCCACGGAUUCUGACUUGUAUUUUCAGAAUAAAAUCUUAUUUAAUAAAAACUGAAAAAGUCAGGCACAGUGGUGCACCCCUGUAAUCCCAGUAACUCAAAAGAUUGAGGUAGGAGGAUUUUAAGUUCAAAGCCAGCCUCAGCCAUUUAGCAAGACCUUUUCUCAAAAUAAAAAAUAAAAUGUGUCAGGGGUGAAGCUCAGUGGAGCUCUCUUUGGCUCAAUCCCAAGUACCAUCCAAACAAACAAACAAAAACGAAAAGAAAAAAAAUAAAAGAAACAGUUUACAAUCCUUAUCUACAGUUUGGGUUUGGAUGUAUUAUAACUGCACCCAAAACUCCAGAGAAUCAAGAGUGCUCAAUUGUCCAGUACUUCAAAAUAAAUAAUCUCAAAUAGGCUUAAAAUAACAAUUAUUAUAUCUCUUAUUGCUCUGUAGAUUGACUGGGCUCAGUUGGGCAUUUCUUACUUGGGGUAUCCUACACAUGCAGUCGGAGAUAGCUGGGGCUCAGACAUCCACGGGUCUUAUGGUAUUUGAACUUUUAAUAUAAUAUGUAACAUCCCCUUGAGAGAGCUUUCCAAGUGCAUAAGGCAGAGGCUACUCUACUUUUAGCCUCUCGCCAGAAAUCACAAAAAAUCCCUUAUACCAUACUCUACAGAGAGGACUAAGACUCUAGAUUCAAUAUACUAGAGGUCUUCACAAAGUUGUGUGCAUACCAACAGGCAUGGUUCAUCAGGGAACCUUUGAAGAGACUGGAUACCAUAGCAGGAAAUGUGGCUUAGACAAAAUGAAAUUACACAAUCAUAGAUCACCCCACAGAGCUCAGCAUAAACUAGGUAAAGAUCCCUUUCUAAAACAAUUUCAAAGACACAAGCCUGCUAACUCUCUGGAUCAAGUAAAGCUGGCAGAGGGAAGAAUUGCUGAUAGAGCCAUUGUCUCCAUAGGCAUGACUCUGAUGGGUGGGGCUGGUAAACCUAGACAUCCUUUUGUUGGGGAGAGAGGACUCCUGCCACUGGGAGUACGAAAGCAGUAUUUGUUUCUUUUCUCCAGAAGGAGCUAAGCACAUCUGAAUACCCAAUUCUGCUCUGUUCAGCGCACCGGGUAUACUGUGCUAUCGCUGCCCUACGAUACACACAGUGGCAAUCUGGUCCUAUAACUCCUAAAUGCAUUUUGGACCUGAUGCUAGUCUCUUUAAGUGCAUUUCAUUCCCACUGUUUCACAAGAACCUCCUUUUUCAGAUUAGGAUACUGAGGCACAGAAAUGAAACAGUUUGCGCCAACACAUAGAUAAGUGGUAUCCCAGGAUUCAAACCCAAACAAUCCAAUACCACAGCCCAUUCUCUUGAUGGUUGCACUCCUCUGCUUGGAGAAAAUCACUUCAAUUCUCUGGGUUGCAGGUUCCUCAUCUGUAAGAGAGUUAACACCCCUUCCCUUACACACUUGUGCUAAGAAGUGAGAGUCUGCCCAGUUUUGCCACCUAGAAGCUAUGGAACCUUGCACAAAUUGUUCAACCUUUCUGAGCCGUGGUUUACUUAUCUAAUCAAUGAGUACAUUAUAUUCUUAUGAGAAGCUGAUGGCAUGAUGCAUAUAAAGUACAGUGUAUGGCAUAAGGGGCUUGAUAAAUGCUAUUAACUGGCAUUAAUAUUAUUGCUGUAAGACAGUUUUGAGGUUCUUUACUUAAAUCUAAUACCCUUACAAGUCUUGCUGAAAUUUCUGUUAUUUUGUCUGAUUUUUACUGUUCUCUUAUUUUCCCACCCAGGAAACAGCUGCACAUUUGGGCAGAGGGACAUAGAAAGCAUUGGUAGAUAGUCACGUUGCCACCACAGAUGUCCCUGCCUUGGCUGAGGACAGAAGACAGCAGCCAAUAUUCACAGAGGACUGCAGAUGUUCUCCUUUAACUUGGAUCAGAAGGGCUAUUAUGGACAACACAAUGUGUGGGUAUUGCAGACUUUUCUGUUCGAAAUGGAAUAUUGCAGAAUAUGCACACAUUCAUCCAAAGCUUAUUGAAUACCUACUCUGUGAUGAUUGUCUUGGAAAUACAAAGAUGAAUGGGACAUACUCCCUGUCCCCUAGGACCACAAAAUACAGACAAGGAGACAAAACACACAUAAUUAACUAUAGUACAGUGUGAGGAGUUCUAUGUAUAGCAGAAAUACAAACAGUGGUUGAUCUCAGAAGGAGACAUUUUGUCAGAAGAGGCUUAGAAGGAGACAAGGGAGGCUUCUUGGAGGAUGUGGUAUUUUAUCAGUUCUAUAAAUAAUGAAAGGACUUUACUAAGAGAUAGGGUAGGACAAAGAUCACGGAGGUGGAGGAAAUGAUAUGAAGGCAGAUGGAAAGGAAGGACAGGGAGCUACCUGUUAGAGCAGGGCGUGUGACAAGUGCUACAGAUGGCUGGGCCACCUCCAUCCAUGACUUCACCUUCCCUGGUCAUCUUCCAUAAUGUGACACCUUCUGGUCAUUGAGUCAUAAGCAGAAGAUUGCUGGGUUAGGAUUCGGGGAGAGUGUUUCCCUUACCCGUAAAAACAGGACAGGCUCAAUUAGCAGGCACUUUCCUUCAACUUUUGCCCUUCACAGUCUCUCCUUUCUCCUCCUGGGAAUGGUGGGUGAGAUUCCUGGAGGGGUAUCUUGAGGUCAUGGGGUGAUAAGCAGAAGAAAACCAUAGAGAUACAGGAGCUUGGGCCGUCAUCAGGCACCUUACCAGCCCUUGGGUGGUAGACCUCUUAAUUUCUUAUUUGGUGAGAAAAAUAGCUCUCUGUUUGUUUAAACCAGAGUACACUGGAUGUUCUGUUAAUUCCAAAGGAAUUAAUAGAGGGGGUAAUAAUGACUUAAGGAAUAUAAGGCCAAAAAUAAAUAAAUAAAUAAAUAAAAGAGGGGGAUCUAUAUUGUGAAGGGCCAUAGAGUCCACAUGUGGAAUGACUGUUCCUUAUGUAGUAAGCAGAGGUGAAGUGUAGCCAGGUGGUAGAGCUCAGCAUGCAAGAGGUCCUCGAUUUUAUCCCAGCACAUUAAACAAAAGCAAAAAAACACUUGUUAUUUACUGGGCAAUGGGAAACCAGAGAAGGUUUGUGAAUAGUAAUAAUACUUAAACUGUGCUGUAGGAGAAAUUAUUUGACAACAAAAGAGAAAGUGCUUGGAAUCAAAGAAACUGAGUAAGAAGAAGUUCUAAUGGUUGCUGUACAAAGUAGUGCCUCCUAUUACAAUCUCCAUCACUAGCAGGUAUAUCUGUAUCAUCAGAUAUAUGCAAUUGAUCAUUUCUAUAUUUAGGUAAAGUGUACUUAUAAAACUUGGUCCUGUUACUAAUUUGUAAGUCUAACUAAGAUGAUAUUUUGCUCUACAAAUCAGUUCCUUAAGCGUCCUUUGCAACCAGACUAUAAUUCUUCCCCUCAUUCUUUCCCAUUUCCUACUUAAAAUUUUUCCUUUCCCACCACCCUUAGUAGGAGGGUAGUAAUAAGCAAUGAAGGGAGGGAGACAGGUGAAGGCAUUUCACGGGAAGAACUAACCAGUCUUGCGAAUUGUUUAAAUGUGGCAGGUCAAGAAGCAGGAUGAAUGAGAAAUGACUCCAAGCUAAGGCCUAUGUGGCUCAAAGUCAGGAAAGAGAAUGAAAGGCAUGCAGAAGGGGUGGGAAAUAGUGGGUUCCUCAGGCCAGUGACUGCCAGAAACUGUCUACAUUGGGUGGAUCCCUUCAGGGAGACCUCCUGGUGCUGCACCUUGGUUUAGGGGAUAUAAAGAUCAGUGAGACCCUUGAGGAUCUCACACUUCAUCCAUUUGUAAACAUUCAUUGAGUUGUCUACUGGUAACCAGGCUUUGUGUAAGUGAACACAAAUACAAUAUGCUAAGUUCCAGGGCUCAUGGUGUUUGAUAAUAGAGAAAAACAGAUAAACUAACAAUGGCAAAGCAAGACAUGCCACAGGUGUGUGGCGGAAAUGUUGGGAUAAGCAGAAAAUUGGAGGGAUGUCUGGGAUGCCUUCACAAUGGAGAGGACCUGUCUGAAUGCUAAGUAGGCAAAAGUAUCCCAGACAGAAUAGACAGUAUGUGACCAAGGUGUCACCACACCUAGUACAUCCUGCCAUUGGGUUGCUGCAGCAGUGGUGGGGGAGGAGUAUGUGUAAUUAAGUGGAUGAAUGAAGCCCAAAAUGUAAUCUGCAAUUUACUUGCACAAUUUUCUUAACCACUCUGAGCCUCCUUUGCUUCUCUGUUAAAUGGGAAUAAUUCCGUGGGACUUUUACGAGGAUUAAAUGGGAUAAUGAAUGCUUAACACAGUGCCAAGCAUAGUAAAUGCUCAAUAAAUGUUAGUUGUUGUUAUCCAGUAGGUCACAAGCUGGAUUAGAUGGGCAUUUUAGAAAGACAGAAGUAGUGUGUGCUAGCAGACUGUGGAUACAGGAAGUCCACCUGCGAGCAAGAAGACGGAGCUCAGGGUGAUCAGUGGUAGUGGACAGCCCUGGAAGAUGAUCAGAACAUAAAUAUCCAGUUAGCCCAAAUAGAGUUCCUUAAAUUAGGCUGGCAUAGUAAAUUGUAAAUUCAAAUGCUGCAAAAUGAAAACAAUCAGACUACUAGUAAGCUGGGAAAAAUGUUUAAUUUAUGGAAUCGAUCCUGAAGGUACUGGCAUUUCCUUUAAUUCUAGAGGGUCAGGUAGCUUCAUUCAAUGUAAUAUGUUUUGCACGUUUCCAUCAGAUUCUAUUACACCAUGGCCUUUAUUCAGGCAAUGGAGUAUUUAAUCAGAUACAAAAAGUAUGUCUUGAAUAUUUACUGUGCGCAAAGUAUUAGUAAAAGUGUCAUAAUCUUUAGCACAAGAUCCAAGUUUGUUCGACAAGGUUGUUCUUGUGCCAAAGAGCCCUGGGGGAAAAGAAUGUAUGAUUUUUAAAAUUUGAAGAUGUAGAAGCAAAAAAAAAAUAGUUAUAAACAACUCUGAAAAUUCAAUCACUGAUUCUUUCUAAACUAGUAUAAUACUCAAAAUAAGAAAAAAAAAUAACCUCAAAAUUUUCUCAUGGAAUUUGUUCAGGUCCCAAACAAUAACAUGAUUCUACGGUGCUGUCCUGAGCAGCAUCAGCAGGGGAAACCAAGACACCUCCUCAGCUGUCUGUGGACCUCAAGAGGGUUUGUUCUCAUGGAUACACGUGAGUCUGAAUGUUCACCAGGGUUUCCCACAGUUCUCUCAAUCCAAUGGUGGGUGGUGUAGUAAACAAAAUCACCACAGACACUAGGACCAUUGAUCUAGAACCUACCAUGUGCACAUUGCUUAUCACUAAUCUGUAUAGUAGCCAUGACACAGGCAUCGCCAUCCCCAUUUAACAGAAGAAAAGAAUGAGUGUCCAAAGGUUCAGGAUGAGGAGUCAAGCUGAG
This 13086-nucleotide long non-coding RNA is filed under the name Marmota monax (woodchuck). The record is from RNAcentral. Lineage: Eukaryota; Metazoa; Chordata; Mammalia; Rodentia; Sciuridae.